RNAcentral lists this ribosomal RNA (492 nucleotides) under uncultured bacterium. RNAcentral's name for it is "partial 16S ribosomal RNA". It matches the Rfam family "Bacterial small subunit ribosomal RNA", at positions 29 to 507 of the family's 1533-position model. The record is from RNAcentral.
AGUGAACGCUGGCGGUAGGCCUAACACAUGCAAGUCGAACGGCAGCACAGUAAGAGCUUGCUCUUACGGGUGGCGAGUGGCGGACGUGUGAGGAAUACAUCUGAAUCUACUUUUUCGUGGGGGAUAACGUAGGUAAACUUACGCUAAUACCGCAUACGACCUACGGGUGAAAGCAGGGGAUCUUCGGACCUUGCGCGAUUGAAUGAGCCGAUUUUGGGUUAGCUAGUUGGCGGGGUAAAGGCCCACCAAGGCGACGAUCCGUAGCUGGUGUGAGAGGAUGAUAAGCCACACUGGAACUGAGACACGGUCCAGACUACUACGGGAGGCAGCAGUGGGGAAUAGUGGACAGUGGGCGCAAGCAUGAUACAGCCAUACCGCGUGGGUGAAGAAGGCCUUCGGGUUGUAAAGCCCUUCUGUUGGGAAAGAAAAGCAGCAGGUUAAUACCCCGCUGUUCUGACGGUACCCAAAGAAUAAGCACCGGCUAACUUCGUG